GGAACCAUGGCCAUCUGGCUCUUAUUUCCAAGCCAUUGAAACAGCUCUACUCCAUGCUCACCUGAGAGGAGGUUGGCUAAUCAAGUCUGCAGAGCCUUUCACCCUGUCCUAUGUGACAUUUUGGAUGCAUUCAUAAAUGGUGAUUUUCCUACGGGUUGGUUUCUGCUACAUCAGUGUAUAGAGAAGCUGAACAUUUCAGCCCUUCCGUGGUGACAGAUCACCAAGAAAGAAGUUUUAUUGCUGAAGAAUAUUAGCUUCAUGAGAGAAGGGAUCUUGUCUGUCUUAUUCACCACUGAAACUCCAGCACCUAGAAGAGUGUGAAAGGACUAUGAAGUGAUGGACAAAUUGCUCUGCACACUGGAUUUAAUUUAGUCAUGGGCUAGAUGAGGUGGAGGCCACACCCAUCACUUAAAACUUCAUUCCUCCAAGUGGUUCAACGGCUCUCCACUCUCAUUCAUUAUGUUUUGCUUUAUUUUUCAACUGGGCAUCAAUUCUUUAAGGAUAAAGGAGAAUAACUGUUACGGUUCCA
Molecule: long non-coding RNA, 529 nt
Filed under: Equus caballus (horse)
Lineage: Eukaryota; Metazoa; Chordata; Mammalia; Perissodactyla; Equidae
Description: lncRNA (ENSECAG00000050390.1)
Source: RNAcentral